RNAcentral lists this ribosomal RNA (253 nucleotides) under uncultured bacterium. RNAcentral describes it as "partial 16S ribosomal RNA". It matches the Rfam family "Bacterial small subunit ribosomal RNA", at positions 524 to 776 of the family's 1533-position model. The record is from RNAcentral.
UACGGAGGGUGCAAGCGUUGUUCGGAAUCACUGGGCGUAAAGCGCGUGUAGGCGGCCUCUUAAGUCUGAUGUGAAAGCCCGGGGCUUACCCCCGGAAGUGCAUUGGAAACUGGGAGGCUAGAGUACCGGAGAGGAAGGUGGAAUUCCUGGUGUAGCGGUGAAAUGCGUAGAUAUCAGGAGGAACACCUGUGGUGUAGACGGCUCUCCGGACAGUAACUGACGCUGAGACACGAAAGCGUGGGUAGCAAACAGG